CUCGACCACACAUGUCCUGCCCCUAGAAGGCAGAGGAAUAUAGACCUUAGGAGCUUCGUGGGAAGUCCUCACUUGUCGAGAACGAAAGCAUUCGUCGUUGGUUAAACUCGACAAGUAACGGAUCGAGACUCGCCGAGGCGACUACUAACAGGACACGGAACGUGACGAACGAUAUUACUUUGUUUGUUCUAGAAGAUUUUGGAUAGCAAGUGUGUUUCAUUUCAGGGUCAUAGUAAAGGAUAUGACGAACUUCUAUCCUUGUUCCAGAAGUUCGGAGUUUAUACGGAAUCAAUAGUGCUGCAGUAGUUGAGUUCUAGUAAGUUGUAACGGUGUGUCAAACGGUUUUGAUUGUAAAACAUAUACUCUGAUAUUUGUAAAAAGUUUUAAAACUGUGCUUUUAAACCGUUUGUUAAAGGUGGAACGGGCUGUGCUGGAUGUAAGACAUCGCAAUAUAAGACCCAGGUUCCUAUGUAAUGUUUUCAGGUUUUGAACUAGACGUUUGUAUACGUCAAGAA
Molecule: long non-coding RNA, 515 nt
Organism: Mercurialis annua (annual mercury)
Lineage: Eukaryota; Viridiplantae; Streptophyta; Magnoliopsida; Malpighiales; Euphorbiaceae
Exons: 3
Source: RefSeq, a predicted model, not a curated record